RNAcentral lists this ribosomal RNA (478 nucleotides) under uncultured bacterium. RNAcentral describes it as "partial 16S ribosomal RNA". It matches the Rfam family "Bacterial small subunit ribosomal RNA", at positions 28 to 507 of the family's 1533-position model. The record is from RNAcentral.
GAUGAACGCUGGCGGCGUGCUUAACACAUGCAAGUCGAACGGGAAUUAUUUUAUUGAAACUUCGGUCGAUUUAAUUUAAUUCUAGUGGCGGACGGGUGAGUAACGCGUGGGUAACCUGCCUUAUACAGGGGGAUAACAGUCAGAAAUGGCUGCUAAUACCGCAUAAGCGCACAGAGCUGCAUGGCUCAGUGUGAAAAACUCCGGUGGUAUAAGAUGGACCCGCGUUGGAUUAGCUUGUUGGCAGGGUAACGGCCUACCAAGGCGACGAUCCAUAGCCGGCCUGAGAGGGUGAACGGCCACAUUGGGACUGAGACACGGCCCAGACUCCUACGGGAAGCAGCAGUGGGGAAUAUUGCACAAUGGGGGAAACCCUGAUGCAGCGACGCCGCGUGAAGGAAGAAGUAUCUCGGUAUGUAAACUUCUAUCAGCAGGGAAGAUAGUGACGGUACCUGACGAAGAAGCCCCGGCUAACUACGUG